This is an RNA transcript of Lagopus muta (rock ptarmigan), 7513 nucleotides long. It is a transcript of the gene named excitatory amino acid transporter 4-like, with no coding region annotated. Lineage: Eukaryota; Metazoa; Chordata; Aves; Galliformes; Phasianidae. The record is from RefSeq and is a predicted model, not a curated record. The transcript is spliced from 14 exons.
CUUGGUUUGCUGACUGAUUUUGCGUGAAGGUGUUAUGUUAUCCAUACAGGAGAUUCCAAACUUGGAGAGGACUCCUGUCCAGGGGAAGCGUUAAAGGUGCUAAGACUUGCAAGUACUGGGAAAUACUUAUUCUUCUUCCUGGGGUUCGUAGAUUUUGUGCUAUUUCCCGUUCUCACAGCAGUGGGUGAUGAUGGGAUGUCUGUAAUACAGUUUGCUCUUCUUACAGAAUUUGUGCACAUUCAGGCUUUGUGAGAAGCUCACACCCCUGCACCUUUCAAGAAGUAGCUUUCAUUUUUGGUUUCAUAUAAGCAUUUUUGGUUUCAUAUAAGCAAAGGCAGGACACUGACUGUCACUUCACUCACUUUAGUUCCAUCUUUCACAUUUUCUGCAAUAGCUCUGCAAGAUGCGCACUUUAACCAGAACUUGAGAAUUAAGUUAUGUGCUAGAUGCCUGGAAAUGUUGGUUAGAGUGAGCAAACUUCCCUUCUUCAAAUGUCUGUCCCUCUUCUGAUACCUUAUUUUAAAAUAGCUGACCUGGAAAGUGGUAACAGACCUCCUCCAUCAACUCAUUUUUGAGGCAGUGUUUCAAAUGUGUAGAUAAAACUUAGACAUGCGUCUAAAAACCUGCCUAAGGGGAAGCAUACAGUAGAAUGGAAGCAUUAGUAAAUAGUCUUGUUAUUCAGUACAGAAGGAAAAUCCUUCAGAGAGCGUUUCCUGACUGCACCUCACUGCCCUUGUCAGUGCCAGGAGCAGCGGAUUGCUGCAGGCUGCACGACUGUUUCUUGGGUAGUUGUGGAGAUUUGCCCUGCACCUCCUCGUGCAUCCAGUGAUCACACGCAGCUGGGUGCCUUGUGGUUAUUAGCAAGUGAGAUGCUUUUUUAGGGAUGUGACAUUAAAAGUCUGAAUAAUGUUUGUUCCUUGAUUUGCUGUUGAAAUGUGUAGGUUUCUGAGAUGCCCUCUGUACUCCUUUAGCAUGUAGUAUUAAAAGGAGCUCAGCAAAAGUACAUUCAAAGCGUGGAGCAUAGUUUCCAGGAUUUACAGCUCCCUAAUUCCUGUGGGAUUUAUUCCCAGUGGCUCUAAUGGGUGUAUGUGUGACCUAAGUGACAUUGUAACACGAGGCUUUCCACCAGGCACUUGCAGGCAUUUCUCACUUCCUAACAGGGGAUGAAACAUACCUACCGUGAGCACAGCUGCAAAUCCAGAAGCGUGCAGCCAGCACCACUCCAAGAUUCUCCAUGCUGCUGUUUGGGCUUCGUGUGCCUGCCUGAGCCGAGUCUGACGGCCUCCUGGCCACCGCCUCACCCGUCUGCUUUAAGGUCUGCAACAGAGGAGAGGAAGAAAGCCGGGAACUCGGCGAGGAUGCUGGGUUAAGGAAGGAGGCACCUCAUAUCGUGUGAUAGCUCCCUUGUUGCCAGGCUGCAGGCUGGCAGGUGCGUCCUGCCCACAGCACCCUGAGUGCACACGCAGGCCUCCUGAAUCACGACCCAGCGCUGCAUGUACAGCUGGGUUCUUCCUGGGUGUUUAGGGAGACACAGGCUCCAAAGCCCUGCAGCAGGACCCAGACCCGCAUGCAUGCCCCAAACCCACACAGCAGGACCCAGACCCACACGGCAGGCCUUGAGCCCCCAUGGUUGGCAGGCACCAAAGCCACGUGGCAGGCCCCAAGCCUUCUGUAGCUCUGCGUGGGGCAGAAUUUUCCCUGGAACACAAGUUCUGGAGAUCUCUGUGAAGGGAAGACUCUGCUUGCACCUGGAGUUCUUCAAAGUAUUGGGCUUUAGAGCAACAUUCUACACCAAGGCAAAAAUGUGUUUUUGUCAACAUUAGGAGUCAAAGAAACGUGACAAAAGGAUAAAAAAAAGUGAACAAAGUCUCUGAAGAAGAACAUGAACAAGAAGAAAUUCUUUCCUAGAAAGAAUUGGUGAGAACAAAUUAUGAAGUCCAUCAGGAGUGGCUACGAGCAGCUGGUUUUAGAGGAUUCUGCAAUUCAGUGAAGGAAAGCCAAGGCUGUGGACUUCCUACACAGCUGUUUUCUCUGAGAAAUCCUGUGAUUUGGAAUUAUUCUCCUUCAAGAAAGUUAGCUGGUAAAUAAUUGGAUGGAUCUCUAAGGAAAAGCAAAUUGCAAAAUCAGAAGUCAAUAAAAGAAGCACUUGGGUUUGCAGUCAAAGAUCUCACUUGGGAAUAGAAGACAGGGAAGCCAUUAAUGUGUCCUAAGGGAAGCAACUGUUUGAAGCGGGGAUCUGGAAGAAACUUGGAGCUGCUAACUGUCCUGUCUGCUGCAGGACCAUCCACACUGAUUAAGCUUUUGUAUCUCAGAUCUCAAGCGCAUUUUAGUCUGAGCCUGCAAGUGCUGUAUGCACAGGUGUUUCCACGUCACAUUCACUAAGGAGGCAUUGCUCAGAGCUCUCUGCUAACGCUGUGCCUUUCAAAGGAGAAAAUCCUACACCCUGCCUUUGAGCUUCGAGAAUCAAGGAACAAAACAACUCAGAAUAAUCCCCUGAGAAGAAAAAGACCCACUGUCCUUCUGCCUGACCACUGACACUUGUUCCAGCCAGGGCAGGCAGAGCAGCGUGCAGGGGCCGACCAUGAGCGAGCAGAGCCACGUCAACAGCCUGUUCCUCAACGAGGACGCAGCCAAGCGGCUCCACGCCGAGGGCCGGGUGCAGCGCCUGCGGCAGGCCGUGCAGAAGCGGGCAGCGCGGGCCAAGAAGAGGAUGAGCAGCAUCACUGCUGACAGCGCCAAGAUCUUCUUCCGCAGAAACGCCUUUGUCCUCUUCACCAUCGCCGCGGUUUUGCUCGGGAUCAUCCUGGCCUUUUCCCUCAGGCCCUACCAGCUGACCUACCGCCAGAUCAAGUACUUCUCCUUCCCAGGAGAGCUGCUGAUGCGCAUGCUCCAGAUGCUGGUUCUUCCUCUCAUUGUCUCUAGCUUGAUUACAGGAAUGGCCUCUCUGGAUGGCAGAGCCUCAGGGAAGAUGGGUAUGCGGGCUGUGGUCUACUACAUGGUGACCACAAUCAUAGCAGUUUUCAUUGGCAUCCUCAUGGUGAUCAUCAUCCACCCAGGCAAAGGAUCUAAGGACAAGCUUCACCGAGAAGGCAGAAUUGAGCAGGUUCAGACCACAGAUGCCUUCAUGGACUUGGUGAGGAACAUGUUCCCACCCAACCUGGUAGAAGCCUGCUUCAAACAGUACAAGACGCAGUACAGCACCCGAGUCUUCACCAGAACCGUCCUUCACAGCAGCAAUCUCACAGCAAGCGUGGCAACCACUCAGCUCCCUGCGCCUGAGAACUCCACCGGCAUCCUGGAGAAUGUCACGCAGGCCCUGGGGACCAUCUCCGAGGUGCUGAGCUUUGAAGAAGUCAUUCCCAUCCCGGGCUCGGCCAAUGGGGUGAACGCGCUGGGGCUGGUAGUGUUCUCCAUGUGCUUCGGUUUGGUGAUCGGCAGCAUGAAGCAGAAGGGACGGGCCCUGCGGGAGUUCUUUAACUGCCUCAACGAAGCCAUCAUGAGGCUGGUGGCCAUUAUCAUCUGGUACGCCCCAGUUGGGAUCAUGUUUCUAAUUGCUGGCAAAAUCCUGGAGAUGGAUGACCUGGCGGUGAUGGGAGGCCAGCUGGGGAUGUACACCCUCACCGUCAUCGUCGGGCUCCUCAUUCACGCCCUCUGCAUCCUGCCGCUGCUCUACUUCAUCGUCACCCACAGGAACCCCUGGGUAUUCAUUGCAGGGCUUCUGCAGGCCCUCAUCACAGCCCUGGGCACCUCCUCAAGCUCAGCGACUCUGCCCAUCACCUUCAGGUGCCUGGAAGAAAACAACGGCGUGGACAGGCGCAUCACGAGGUUUGUUCUGCCCGUGGGAGCUACCAUUAACAUGGAUGGCACCGCUCUGUACGAGGCCCUCGCUGCCAUCUUCAUUGCACAAGUCAACAACUACGAACUCGACUUUGGGCAGAUCAUCACAAUAAGCAUCACUGCCACGGCAGCCAGCAUUGGUGCUGCAGGCAUUCCCCAGGCAGGGCUGGUGACCAUGGUCAUAGUGCUGACGUCGGUGGGGCUGCCAACUGAAGACAUUACGCUGAUCAUCGCUGUGGACUGGUUCCUAGACCGCCUUAGAACGACCACCAACGUCCUGGGGGACUCUCUGGGUGCUGGCAUUGUGGAGCAUCUCUCCCGGCAGGAGCUGGAUGCGCAGGAAUGCGAACUCGGUAAUUCUGGGAUAGAGGAGAAAGAGCAGCCCUGCCAGCAGGUCUGCACACACAGCAACAGCCUCAGGCACCCCAGCAGGGAGACAGCGCUGUGAAGUCAGGCAGCAUUACACAUUCAUGCUGUAUAAAGCCAAGACUUGAAGCAGAAGUCUUGGGGGCCAGAGAGGAGGACAGAACACGACAGACUUUCCAACAUCUACACUGUUCUCCCCCACAUGCAGUCUCCCCUGAUCCCUUUUAUCCCCCAUCUCUUUCUGACUGACUUUAAAGAGGAGAAAAUUAAAUGGCAAAGAAACUUUUGUUCCAUGAAAGCCUGGUUUAAUCAUUCUUCCUGGAGUUCAAGAGCUAGACCUGAGUAAAUAAGGCGCAGUGGAUGAGCUGGACCAGGAGCUCUCUCUGUUGUGAGCUGAAGUUGAAGCAUAGUUAAUGGACAAGGUGGGCCGGUGACACCCCCCCUGCGGACUGGCACCAGGAUGUUGGCAUGAUGACUAUUGCUAAUCCUGCAGAUGCAGAGUAGCAAAGCCUUCACUUGGUCAGUGGCUUCCCUUCAAGAUUUUGGCAGCUUUGAGACCUCUGGUGGGCACCAGGGCUCCACUUCGACUCUUCAGUGGCCAGUGCUUGUGAAAAACCAGUGUUCUCCUUGUGUGCACUGCCAGCAUUUGCACAGUGACACCACCGAUGCCUCCUGAGGUCUCCUCACCCCUCUGGCAAUCCUUCUGGCUGUGGGUACUGAGGUCUUCUAUCUCUCAAAAGAAGAUGGGACCAAAGAAUAGGGACAGGGCUGUGCUGGUUGGCAGCACAGAGGUCAGAAUGGCUUUCCAUUCAUGGAAGCAGUGAAUUAUGAAAGCAGCAAACAAAUAAUGGAACGGAUCCACUGUCCAGCCUUUGGACCAGUUCUCCUCUCAGCCAAGCUCUGCCGAACAGUUCACUUUGUUUCCUUCUAAAGAUCUCCUCUCUUAGUGAAAGCAGAAGGGGAAUUGCAAAGCUUAAGAGCAGUGCCUCCCCGAGCAGCUGGUGCUGCCUGCGUGCCAGGGCUGCUCUGUGCCAGCUGUUUCUCAGCUCAGAGGCAGGGACAAAAUCACAGAGCUGUCCUGUGCUCUUCUUGCAUUAAUCACCUUCAUCCAUGCUGCAGUGUUGCAGGGAGAAUGCUGCUGUCUUGGGCUUUUCUCACACUUAAAGUAUACUUAAGCUGUGCUAUCAAAGCUGGUCGGACUGUGCCUGCAGCAUUUGCUGCUAGAGCAAGAGAAAAGCGACGGUCUGUUUCUCACAGAUUUUUAUAAGCUUUGAUUUUGGAGUCCAAUUUUUGAGGCAAAACUGAGCCCUCCAGGCAGAAGGCUGGAACACGUGGUGUGCAGCACUGUUUGUUACUCUCCACAUUCAAGUAAAGGAUUACGAAUGUUCUGAACAUCCGAGCAGCUCCUUGGGCAGCAAUUCUGGGAGUACAGCUGCAGACUAAACAGAGGCAGUUCUUUCAGUAUGCCCUCUCAGGUAAAAAUUACUCACAGUCCCAUCCUCUGGACUUUUCCCUCUCUGUUCCACACCUUUCUCCAAGUGGAUUGAGGACAGCUGGGCAGAACGAUCCAACUGAAGAUCUAUUAGCACAGAGGAAAGAACAUUUCAUGCACACUGAGAUAGAGACCUUGGCUUCAGCUUAGCACGAGUAACAGCACGCUGCUCAGGGGAACCGCUCACAGCUGCAACAAAUUCAGAUUAUUUGUCCAACUUCUCAAGAAAGCAUUGAAUUCUACUCCUGAAGAGACUUCUUGUAUAUAUAUAUAUAUAUAUAAAGGGCAAACCAAGGGAUGAAUUGGAAGACAAGGAGAGAUGGUUGGAUUGGACUCUAGCUCAAAUGGAAUUAAUUCUGGGAAGCCCUACGGCGUGGGUUGUGCAGAGAGGCAGACGAGUUGAUCAUGAGUGUCCCUUCUGGCUUUGUAAUAUAUGCACAUGCUUUCUGGUUUAGAGGUACUGCAGAGGCUCUGCUGAUUGUUUCCAAAAGCUAUCAGAAAGGAUCCUUAUGGUAACUUCUCUGAACUCAGCAGGACUCUGACCUGUUUUCAGUUGCUGUUAGCAGAUGUAAGCCUGUCACAAAGGGCUCUCAUACUGUAUUGCAUUGGCAUCAUCUCACUUGUUCCCACCAGGCAGCAUGCCCCAAGCCUUGCUGUGUGAUUUCUUGCCUUCAACAAAAGAUUAACGAGCACAGAUGAGUAGAUGGCUCCUUUUCCAAUCUUGCAAGCCAGUUUGCUGUGGGGAGUUUCAGAAUAUUUUUUUGCUGUGGUGUCCACCCAUGUUGUGGACCAAUCUAUGAUCAGCAUUAUCCAUUUGUUUACAACACCCAAGCAGUAUGGUCAGGAAUUUGCUUAUAUAUGCACAAAUAUCUACAUGCAGGUGUGUGUGUGCCUAUGAAUGGGGUGCACACGUACAAACACACAAUCAUUCUGCUGCUGAUCCAAGGACAGGCAAUGCUGAACCCUCACUCUGUGAGGUUGCAUCCUUAAUUUUGACACCCAGUGUGAUUUGCAAAACUACUCCCAUCCCUAAAACAACACAAACUGUUUGACAUUACAGUAAUGAGUCUUCUAAAGCAAGGUUUAUUAGGAAGGAGCUCAUUGUGCUGACUGUGGGCUGUGGCUGCUCCCGGUGCGUACAUCCCAAGGUCUCGGGUCCCCACGCUGUCCAGCUUUGCAAGGAGGCAAGCUUUCAAGUGCUCAGCCAGCAAUACAGAAGUGUUUGUACUCCUUCCAAGCUCAAACUCUGACCUCGUACCAACUCAGCCUUCAGAACUGCGCAACUGAAAACAUGAAAUCAUUUUAUCAGCUGUCUUUUUAAGUCAUCGGCUAUUUGGGAACGUGUGUGGUCUUUUCUUUACUGCAGUGCUGCUGCUUCUAGUUGCAGAAACACAGCGAGUUUCUUCUCGUGGCAAAUAAUUUAUCCCUGAUGAUUGGGUGGGCAAUGUUUGGGCUGAAACGGGGAGCUGCUCGAUGCACACAGCCAUGAGGAGCUCUUGGAUCAGGACACAUCCCUUCAAAGGGAAUUUAGGAGAGCAAAGACACGGAACGCAGGUUUUCACACAGCGGGCCGCAGAUUCAGCACAUGGUUUUUGUGUUCCUUCAGGGGCCGGAUCUGCCCAUGGAAUCCGGAAUCACGAAAUCUUUUGCUCUCCGCAGGGGUGAAGGCGGUAACUGGAACUCACUGCUGCAGUGUCGUCGUCGCAUUCGGGCAGUUUGACUGUGUUGAUUGCCAAGGCCUUUCUUUCCAUGCUGUGAGUUUCAGUGUCAAUAAAGAUAGUUUGCAGAUUUGAAAAAUAAAGGGAAUCUUUUUCCACA